This 102-nucleotide ribosomal RNA is filed under the name Castor canadensis (American beaver). Lineage: Eukaryota; Metazoa; Chordata; Mammalia; Rodentia; Castoridae. The record is from RNAcentral.
UUUGGCCGAACCACCCUGAACAUGCCCGAUCUUGUCUGAUCUCGGAAGCUUAGCAAGGUUGGGCCUGGUUGGUACUUGGAUGGGAGAAAUAAAGAAGCAAAU